UUUUUUUUUUUUUUUUGGUGAUUUAGCCUUUUCUAUUUGCCUAUCUAUUUAUAUGCAAUAUAAUUUUUUUUACAAUUUGAUUAAUGUUACUCAAAGGGUAACGUUACCCUACUAUGUAGCACAUAAUAUUAUUUCGAUGUGUUGGAUAGUAUAAAAAAAAAAAAUGAAAAUGUGGAAAAACCAAAUAAGUAUACUAAUUUUUAUUCAUCAGGUAUUAACAUUUCAUUUGCCUCCUAAAACUCCUCCAAAUUAACAUAGAUAUGAGAUUGUUAAUGCAAAUUCAAAAUAAAAUCAAGUAUGAAAUUACUAAUUUCAUUGGCUAAUUUUGUCAUUACACCAAUGAAAUUUCUGAAAAGGACAUGUAUCCCAAAACGGGUUUCCCAGAAGCUACAUUACAAUAUGAAAUUUUCAAAAAAGAUCUAAGAUACCCUACAGUUGAUAAGCACAAUUAAAGAAAGAAUGGACUCCUUAGGUCACUUUCCAAGAACAGUAUCCUUUCUUUUUGGAAGACUUCACAUUUUCAAUAAUUUUAUCUCUCAAGUUUUGGAGACUUUGAAAUAUUUUCUUGAGCUUCAAGGGGGCCUGUAUCCAGACUUCUUCUAGACGUCAAGUUCACAUUUAUUUAUAUAUAUUUCUAUUUAUUUAAAAUCUGGGUUUCAUUUAGGCCCUAUGUUUAGGAUAAUGAUGCAAUUGAAUAAAUCACCAUAAAUAAACAAUUUUGCUCUCUUCAUUUGCUUGGCAAUUAUUAUUAUUUUUUUAUUGUAAUAAUAUAAUAAAUUUAAAUUGGAAGAAGUCGUUUUAUUUCCAAUUUUCAUACAUUACUUAGGGUUGGCAGCAAUUUAUGAUUAUCACAAAAUCAAUUCACAUGAACCCUGAUGCUGUAUAAAGAAACAUGGAUCAGAGUUUUAAAAAGAAUACAAUUAAAUAAAAAAAAAAGGUUUUUAUUUUUCUUUUUAGUAAAUUAACAAUUGUUUUCUCGUUUGAAUCAAGAAUCGUAUAAUUCAUUUACAAUGCAAUACAUUUCUAUUGACAUAACCGUUUACUUGUUUGUUUAUAUAUAUUUCCUUUUUAAAUCAUAUAAAUGAAAACAUGCUCAUGAAAAAUGAAACAAAAUUGAUUGUUGAAAAAAGAAAACACUAAUAAAAAGGGAUAAUAACGAGAUUGUCCCUUAAUGCUAUGAAACCUGAAAAUUUAAUUAAUCCAAGAACCUGUGAAGUUCCUUCAGUUACUAUUCCUAAAAUACUCUGUUUUUUCAAUUUCGUCCAAACAAUACUCAUCCCCGCAAUGAGUAGUAUUGCUGACUUUCCUUUCAACUUGGCUCGUUUUAUCAAGAACCGAGACAAAUAUUUUAAAUAUUUUCAACAUUUCAGGAUAGAAGUUAUACAUUACUUAUUUAACAAUAUUUUUUCGAAAAAAUUUCGUACCGUCCUAAAUAUUAUAGGACUUAUUACACCUCUAAAAUUAUAAAUUUUGAAUAAUAUUGCAUGGUAACAACAUGUUUUAGAGUUUUUGAUUUUUAUAUGUAAACUAAUUAUUUGACACAUGAUUAAUAUAACUUUUGAAAUAAUAAUUUUCACUUAUUUUAGUUAUGUAAUAAAUGUUUAAUCGAUUUAAUUUUUGAAAUUGAACCAUUUAAUAGAAUAAUUUUAUAAAUUAAAAUAUAUAAUAAGUGUAUUUUAUAAGUUGAAAUGAUUAUAUUCAGAAUAAAAAUUGAGAAUGCCUCGAAUUUAAUAAGAUAUCAUGCAUCUUAUAAUUAAUGUAAAGAUUUUAAAUUAAAAUUUUAUUUUUCAUCUUUUAUUUUCAUUAAGGCUACAUUUUCAAAAAAUAAUUUACAUUGAAAAAUGUGUCUUCAUUUCACACUUAAAACAGUUCAAAUAAUUUAUUUUCUAUUAUUUAGUUACAACAUUAAAAAUAAUAAGAUUACUAGUUGUAAUUAGCAGCAAUUGAUAAUAGUGAGUAUCAUUGAUAAAGAGAGUAAUAUAAAUUUGUGUUUAUAAGGUUUUAAUAAAUUUAUAAUUUUUUUUUUCCUGAAAAAGAGGUAUCAUUUUUCUUUAAAAUAACUUAAUUUUCAUUUGACAACCAAAAUAUUUUUCACUUUCACUAUACUAUUUUCUUAAUCACUCCUAAACAUCUAAAUAUUUUUGUUGGAAAAUAGCAGAGGUUAAUGAAUAAUAAUAAUUAAAAAAGAAAAAAAAAAGAGUGGUUGGUCUAUUGCCCAAGAAAACAAGUCAUCCUCUAUUUUCCAGGAAAUAAAAGCAAAGUUAAGCCAACGGCAAUACAACCGCAAAGCUGAUUUGUCCUGAUCAUGGGAAGAAACGGAAAUAUCAACAUCGUCCACGUGAGAUGAUAAAUGGACAAGGCCCAACCCAAUCUUCACUCCCAGACAAAAUUGAGAUCAUACUCUGACGUCACUCAACAUUUCCCCUCUGACCUGGCCGCCUUGGUAGUUGCUUCAAUUGACCCACGUGUGAUUUUGGCCCAUUUAUGGCCCACACCAACGCUAAAGGGAAUUAAAAGUGCAACUCAUCUCCUAUUCUUUUACCUUCACGUUUUUUUACCCUUCUCAGUAAUUUUAAUACUUCCGUAACUGUAAAAUCCUACUUCUCUAUCUUCUUUGCUGCGAAUAUAAAAGGGAUACCAGGCUUCCAUUUUUGUAUACCUCAGGCUCAGGCUCAGUAUGCACUUCUAAAAGCAUACCAAACAGUCAACCAACUAAACAUUCCAAAUCUCGUUACCAGAUUCACAUGGAUUCCUCAAAUUUUUACUCUCCCAAUUCUGAUUUCUCAUCGGAAUCUUCUUUCGGAUCGCCGGAAUCCUUCUAUAGCCCAUCGUUUAACCAAGAUUCUCUCCCUUUCAAUGAAAAUGAUUCCGAAGAAAUGCUUUUGUAUGGACUAAUUUCAGAGGCAACGCAAGAAACGUCAAAAAUGGAUUAUUCGAACAAAAAAAUCAAAGAAGAGGAGGUGAGUUCAAUAAUAAAACAAAACACAAAGAAGGAAAGCAAAUCCUUCAGAGGUGUAAGGAGGCGGCCAUGGGGAAAAUUCGCGGCGGAGAUAAGAGAUUCAACUAGGCAUGGAAUAAGAGUAUGGUUAGGGACAUUUGAUAGCGCAGAGGCAGCUGCUUUAGCUUACGAUCAAGCUGCUUUUUCAAUGAGAGGAGCUGGGGCUGUACUGAAUUUUCCAGUUGAAAGAGUAAAAGAGUCACUUGAGGAUAUGAAAUACAGCCAUGAAGAAGAUGGCUGCUCACCUGUUGUAGCUCUUAAAAGAAAACAUACUAUGAGAAGGAAAAUUAUGAGCAGAGCCAAGAAAGAAAACGUCGUCGUUUUGGAAGAUUUAGGUCCUGAUUACUUGGAGCAGCUUCUUUCUUCCUCUGAAAAUGCUACACCUUGGUCAACCAAGUUCAUCUAGACUUAUUUGCUUCAUCUUUAUCUUUUUGUCUCACGUCAUUGCAAUGGUUGGAGAAACGAUUGUUUUUUUGAAUUUAGGUGUGUACCUUGAUAUCUUUUUUUUUUUUUUUUCCCUUGUAAAGUUUAUAGGGAUUUACUAAUUAAAUAUUGUAGUAAUUAAUCUUGUGAGUUUCAAUCACUGAUUUAAGUAUCAAUUCACAAGUUCCAUCUUCAUGUUGGAAACAGAGGACUCUGUAAAUUAAACAGAGUUGCACCACUGUAAUGACAGGACACAAUAGAGAAGCACAACUGCUUCACGUAAUUGCAAGUUUGCAACUAUAAAACAUUAUUGCUUGAUUUUAUGGAAAUCACCCAAAAAUAUAAUUGACCAUUUCAUUUCUAAUAACACUUCUUUACCCUCAUGACUCGUUUCAUAUCAGUGACGGUGCCCGUCCAUGCAAUGGCAUUUUAGAAAAUCUCAUGCAUGUUUUUUUUUAUCGUUGUACUUUAUUUUAAAUUUUUAUUGCACAAAUGUGCAUGAUCUAAUGAUAAGUACGUGUACUAUUUGGGUAUAAUUUAAGUUCAAUUUUUUCAAUAAAAAUUAUGUUUGGUUUUUUUUUUUUUAAUAUUAAGAAAUGAACGACGAGAUUUUACGACGGUGAGAUUUCAAUCUAUAUUCACUUUUAUAUAAUUUUAUUUUUACCGCUAAACUAAGAUACUCAUUAUAUUUAAAUAUUAAUACCAACAAGUGUACAAGUAUUGAGUAAUAUUUUGAAUUUUAUUUACAAAAACAAGUAGAGUAUGUUAUAUGAUAAUUUUGAAAUAACUAUUGUAGUUUUAAUAGAAAUAUUUUUAAAGAAUUAUUUUUGUAAAUAGUGAUGAAUAGGUUCUGAUAUCUAAUAUUGCCAUUUUCUUUUAACAAUUUUAGAAUAGUUUUUACUCUGUAAGUUCGAACUUCUUAAUUAUAUCUGUGAACUUUCAACUAUCUUUUUCAAGGAGAAUAGGCUAAAAAUACAUGAAAGAGUAGCUUUUUCUUUUUUACGGAAAUUUGUAAUAAUACUAUUCUAGAAAGAUAGACUUUGUGUUUGACAAGUAAGUAGAAACUUCUUGUUUAUUUACUUAUUAUUAUUAAUUACUACUAGUUAUUGUAAAUCCAUAUCCAACGUGCUACCAACUCUAGAAAUUCAAGAAUAUUAGUAAGAAGCUCUUGAAAAAUCAAUAUGCACAUGUUAAAUUGAACAAAAAAACAUAUAAGAAAAUUCUUGUUUUUCAGGAAGCAAACAAUUCUCUCUUGUAGUUACUUGUGAGACAAUAUAAGAAAUACGACCAAGAAAAAAAAAGUAUUGUAAUGGAAAAUAAAAAUAGUGCAUAUAGCAAAGUUAUUAAAUAAAUAAAUAAAGAAUUAGAAGCAAAAUACACUACUAGAAAUGGGUAAACCGAAAACAUAUUGAAAAGAAAGAGAAAUGGAAAAAAAAAAAAAAAAAAAGAAAUAACUAAUUAUUAUUAAUUUAAUAAAUAAAAAAACAAAGAAGCAAAACCGAAAUUGGCGGGCUGUAAAGAGUUAAGAGUGUUGGUAACCUUGAAAAGACUAAUAAAGAAAUAUUUCAGAAUUGGUCUUUAGCGUAGGCUUUGUUUGUCUCAUUCAUUUCAUUGAUUCAAUUCAAUCAAUUUGAAAAUUACUAUUUGGGUCCAAUUUCAAUCCAAACGAAUCUUCUCUUUGUUUCCAAUUAGGUUUUGUUUAUCCUGUGGUUGGAAUUGGACUGAUAUUUGCCAGAUGAGACCCCUCUAUCCUGCAAUUUUAUUUUUUAAAAGAUUAUUCUAUUCCAUUGAAAAGCAAAAGAUAAUGAAAAUGUUGAAUCUUAAUUAAACAAUACAACAAAAGUUGAAUAUUAUUAUUUUUCACUCCAAGUAUUAAAAAAUGAAAGAUUCAUAUCUUUUAUGCUUUUUGAAUUCAAAAUUGAAUGUUCAUAAUCUACAUUACCAUUUUUUGUGCUUUAAAUUUCAUAAUCUAAUGAAGAUUAAGUCCUUAGAGAGUUAUACACUUACCAAUGUCUUUAUUUAUGUAUAGGAAUCUUUUAAUAAGAAGGAUGUUGUUCUAAAUUUUGAUGUUAUAUGAUAAAUUUUCAAUUUUUUUUUUUCAUUCCUGCCAUCAAUGAUAUCCUUAAUUCAAUUUAGAUAUUGGAUAUUAAAUUUCUUUUCAUGGUUAAUUUCAAAAAAUGUAUUCUCUAUGUUGAUAUAAUGUAUUCAAAAAUAUUAUUUAUUUUUUUAGAGUUUUUGAACCAAAGAGUACAAACAAAUUACAAAUUAUUUGAUUCGAGAUUAGAAUUCAUGAAGAAAUAUUUUGACUUUUUUAGACUUGAGAUUAACAUCCAAUUGACAUUCGAAAUUUAAAAUUUAAUUAGAUCCUUGUUAAUUAUAAUGGGAGGAGUAAUUGACUGGAAUAAAUAAAAUCAAUUCACGAAGAAAAAAAUUUAAGACUUGGACCAACUAUUGCUAAAAAUAUUAAAAAAAAAAAAACCAUUUUAGACUUUUUAUUUUAUGGUAGAUAAUUAACUUUUCACUCUCUUAUGCCCUUUGUAUAAUGUGACAUUCUAACACAUUUAAUACUCUCUAUUAGAUUUGAAUUUCUUUUAAAAAAAAAAAAACUCCAUUAUUUGUUGAAUUUAUUUAUUCAUUUUUUUUUUAUAAAAAUUUUUAAAAAACUUAUAACUCCUAUCUUUAGUAAAUGGAGGUCGAAACAUGAUACUCUAUAUUAAUUGCUAAUAAAAAAAAAAAAUCACUAUCAAUUUGAUUUGAAGUAAAAUAAUUAUUGAAAGGAUAGAAUCCUAAGGGUAUGCCAUUAAUUCAAAGGAAAUGGCAAGAACCUUCUAAUUAAGGUCAUAGUUCAGUCGUCAAAUAAGUUAGUUACUGGUGAUAGAUUUGGAAAGAAUUUUUGGUUUUAAUAUCAAUUUAUGUCAUUUUCUGUACAAAUUUUACAAAAUUAAAUUGGGCCAACUGCCAACUAUAGUCAAUUCAAAAAGAGUGUAUAAUAUAAACUAUACUGUAUAUGCUUGCGUAUAGUAUUUCAAUACAUGUACCUAAGUGCUGAUAUAGACUAUACUUUAUGCAUAAAUUACGAAAAUGCAGUUAAAUAAAAAAAAAAAAUUAGAAAGGGAAAAAAAAAUAUUUUGGAGUAAUUAAGGAAUAAAUAAUUAUAUAUGUCACGUGAAUUUUGAUUGUUCCAAUUUGGUAAUACAAUCCAAGAUUAAAAGUCUUGGUGGUCAAUGUUUAAAUGUUUUGUUUAGUCAAUUCAAAGGCUAUUUAUUUUGAAAAUAUUUAUUAAUGCAAUCUAUAAAGUGUAAUAAAUAUAGUGGCAAAUCAUGAUUUUCAUUUGAUCGAUAAAGAUAAAGACAUAUCACUUUCAAUCCUAAGUGGUUAACUGAACUUGGUCACACAUGUUCGUGAUAGACUUUUAUUUAUUUAACAUUAUUAAUAAAUCAAAUUAAAAGAAUCUAUAUUCCAACUCAUACCACCAUAUGAAUAUGCAUAAUCAGCUUUUCCUUCUGUUUAAUGUUUCUAAUUAACAUAUACUUUGGAUCCACUAAUCCGCAUAUUAUACAUAUGUUGUCAAAUUAACAUGAAUCGGAAGUCUCACCUAAUUUAUUUAUUUAUGAAUUAUUAUAUUUAGUUUAAUGAUGUUAUAAAUUAUUAUUAUUGCAUAUAACUCUAAAUUUAAAAAUUUGUAUAGGGAUAGAAAUAUAGGAUAUUCUUUUGAAAGAGAAUCUCCAAGAAAAUUGUGGGUCCUACCUUAUCAAAGAGAAAGAAAUUGGUGCAAUGUAAAGUUCUUUGUACUUGUCUUGUCUACUGUCUGUGUAUUCUUCUGCCUGUCUACCAAAAUUUAAAUGCGUAUGGGUUUUGAUGUUAUGAUGAUUGACAAGUAACUACACUCAACUCUAGUGGAAAAUGAACAUUGUGAAAAAGAAAAUAAUAAUAAAGUGUAAGCUCAGAAUCUUAAAAUGGGAUCUUAAUUACCUUGUGGCCAGCCUUCUAAUUUAAUAAUAUUAGCCCAAAAGAUUAAAACAGACCCAACAGAUAAAAAGGCCCUAAAACUCCUCGUAUUGUCAUGUCGAUUGUGUCCAAUGGGCUUUGGUUCUUUUGGUCCACACAAGUUAAGGUCGUCGGUUUUAUAUACUACUCUGCUUGAAAAGGCAUGGUUUGAGCAAAUAUUUUGCAAGAACAACCAAUGGAAAGCUUUCAUUAGUAAUAAAAACAAGGAAUCAAGAAGUACAAGAUCGAAGAGUUCAAAUAUGUAGAUCAUUUAAUCACACACAAGUAGUUUCUGGUACAGCUCUCCUGAGAGGGCUAGUUCCAUGACAGCCAUAGGAUCAAUGAUUCCACCAUUUUCCAAGAACAAUUUUGCCAAGUUCUUGGAAAACCCACUAACAAGAGCCAUGCCACUUUGAUUUGCUGUAACAGGCGUAUCAGAAGAGUUUCUCAGGUUCCAAAACACAAUCUCUAGGCAUUUUAGUGAAACCUUUCUCCCUAAAUUUCCUCACUAUAGCUUCAUAAUCAGUCUUCCAUCCUUUCAAGAAACGUUGUCUCUGUUUCUCUAUUUUCAUUUCCAUUUCUCCUCCAGAUCGUUCUGAGACAUAAAAUCAUACUCUAUAUCACUAUCCAUAUCUGAACAAUCACUCUCCGUACAGGAGUCAUACAUAUAGCGACUUUUGUAUGCUUUAUGAAACUCCAUGCCGCUAAAAACAAAAAUCCUCUUUAUCAUCCAAUCCUCUUGUAGCCCUCCAUCAACAGCAACUUUCAGAAUUCUAUCAAAAACCUCUUGGAGAUCUGCAUUGGUACCCGCUUUCAUUUUCUUUAUAAACUUGGUCUUCUCCCGGAGGCUAUCCCCUUUUGAUGGAGUGAAUUUGAGGAUUUCCACUGAAUGCGGUAACUUUGCCCUUCCAUGGUUCCUCACUAAGCUCUGAAAUCAACAACCCAAGUGCAACGCAAACCUCCAUAGGAGUCCCAUCCAUUCUUCCUGAGACAUCACAUACAGUGAUGCAAUUAUUCAAUUUUCCAUUUUCUGACAUAUCUUCCACCAUCCUCGCCCAUUGCAGCUCUGCAACUUUCCCUUCGUCUACAUCCUUCAAAGAAGCAAUUAUCUCAUGAGGGAGAAGAGCACCAGCAGCAAUCUUAGCAUCUCCACGCUUAAGAUCCUCCAAAUAUGCGUUAAACCGCUCAUUAUCAUGCCUCAAGAAAUGUUCCUUGUAAUUUUUCAUGGCUACAGAAGGAACCCUAUCGUAAGGGAGGGUCUCCCACCUAUUAGAACUCGUAUACACCUCAGGUAAAUCAAGAACCUGAUGUAAAGGGACAUGUACUUCCUUCCUCAACCUAUCCCGAAUCCUAUAUACAUAAUGUGCCUCCUCAAUUCCCUCGUAUUCAGGGGAGGACUCUCUAGGGAAAAUCCUCCUUGCAAUAUUCUCGCAUGUCAAUAUAGCUCGAUCAUAAGAUGAAUUAUUAGAAGGACACCACUUUGAAGCAAGACUAAUCUUGUAAAUCUCACCAGAAUUCAGAAACUGCAAAUCUUGCUUUAAAGUAUCUGCAAACAGCUCAGCUACACUAUCAUGCAAAAAUCUAUAAACAGGAUCUCUAGUAUACCUCUCAAAAGCAUUUUUUGCUCGGUCUAGAUGCUUCUCCUUCCUCAAGGUCCUCGCUUGAGCUUUAAGGUUGGCAACCCUCACUUCUUUUGGCAGUGUUGCCUCUGGUUCAGGCUUAUAUUCGAGUGAAGUAUUGGGUGAGUAUUUCCUACUAUUUCUUCCCACCCUUGAAUGCAUCCUUGCCGCCUUUGCAGCGCGUUUCUUGGCAAACAAACUACGUUUUCUCGAAACCCCUUUAUUUGCUUUCUUCACUUGCCAUUCAUCUCUUUCUUUCCGUCUCACAUUCUCUCCUUCUAGCAACCUAUACAAUAUCUCCAGCAAAUCCUUUUAGUAUCCAAACUCUGCCAAAAUCUUCGCGUUGCAAGCUAGGGUUUUUGGGUGGUUUUUGUGCAACCAUAAAGCAGCAGUGUAAAACUGCUCCUUAUCCGACUUCCCUGUGCCCCUAACUCCCCUUAGAUUACAAACAAGCUUCAACGUCGUUAAUGGAUCACAAGCCCAAUCGUUUAUAAGCCGCUAUCAAUGAACUCUAGCGUAUCGGGCACCACGUGGAAGAAAAAGUCAAGGCAAGGGUUUCCAGAGUCCACGUACGUAAGGGAUUUGUUCUCCCUGAAGCCAGAUGUAGGGAGGGUGGUGCUUCCUAGGCGGAUAUUUCCGAUUUUUUAAUGGAAGGCGGACAAGGUCAUGUCGCCAUCAAUAUCGACGGAGAUGGAGGGGAGAUUGGAAUAGAUCCCCGGUGGGCCAACAAGAAGAGAAUCGAAGGCCAUUGUAGAUGAGGAAUUUUGAGAAGAGAAGAUAGUAGAUGGGUUUUCAAAGGUUCUGCGAUCUGGGGCUUUUUAUACAGAAGAUAAUACUAGGAGAGCAAGUAGGGGUUCAGAUUCAGUGUUGCCAUUUCACCGUAUUUUAAGUGAUCCUUUUUUUUCUUUAAAAAAAAAAAAAGAAAAGAAAAAAAUGGUUUGAAGUUUGAACGGUAUUAUUUCCCAUCUUGGCUGAACAAAAAGAUAAUGACUCAAAUAUCUCUGCUCUUAGCUAGAGUUUUACACAAAUUUGAAUAUAUUCUAGGAGCUAUUGCCUUCCCAUGGUGAUUGACUGAUGGACGUUGGGGAUAGACAUGGUGGUCUAUUCUCGUUUCAAAUUCAAAACUGCAGAAAAAUGUUGCUUAAGUAAGGCUUCUACUUCUCUCGGAGAAUAUCUAUAUGUUGUUUCAUUUUGUUAUUUAAAAGGAUUGAUCGGAUUUGGUUUACUUACAAUUGCUAAUUACUGGAACGAAUUGAAUUAGGUGUUGAUUGUGUACAAACAUUCCUCCCAUCAAUGUCAGUGAUUUUAUGCAAUUCUUAUCUUAUUAACCAACUGGAAACGGAAUUCGGAAUUUGAUCACUAAUGGGCUUUCCGGAGCCCUAAUUGUUAGUUUAUUUUGUUCUUUUUUAUUCUCCUCAUGAAUUGGAACGGCAAUUUUGAUUUGGAUGUUGUUUCUGCUUCUGUUGAAAUGAUAAUUCAUAUAUAAUUGUAAGCUACUCAAGCAGCAAUAAUCCUUUUUAUUAGGAAUUCAGGAAUUGUUAUUCUUACUUACUGAAUAUUUCGCAGGAGACUGACGGUGUCUAAUAGAACGAGCAAUACAAUAACAAUUCAGAAUUGGUGCACCAGUACUUCAAUUUAAUGAUUGCUUUAUCAGUUAAUGAAAUAAGGAAAAAAAAAAAACUUCGUCCAGCAUUGACUUAUGCAACUGAAGAUUUUUAUGUAUAAUGCCAUGAGAAAUGAGAUUGGUUAUAGUUUGUUAGAGAUAUGGAAGGAUAAAACAAAUUGUGCAAUCAGCAGGUUGUUUUCUUCCAACCAUACAUUGAAACUAUGGUGGGAUUUAUGAUAGGAGUAAUGGGCUUAUUUCAUUAAAUUACUGCAUAUUUUCAAUCACAUGCUUGUAUGUGAACUUGGAAUUAUACCUGAUAGGUAAACUAUAAAGCUUUUGGUGUAAAUUAUUAUAAAUUUAUGAUUCGCAAUGGAUGGUAGUCUUGGUGUCAUGAUAAGGUUGUUUACUUUGCAUCAGAAAUGACAGGUUAAAAAACAGCCUCAUUGCAAGGCCAGGAAAUUUUACAAGCGUUUCUAUAUUAAGAAGGAAUAGCAUGGCAUGGCCUCAUGGACUGGAAGCAGUCUACUCUUACUCGCUCUGAAUCACAGAAAGAGCAGGUAAUGUCUCUUGAGUUAUGGAAACCUAGCAAUAUGAUUGAUUAAUACUGGCUUAAAAAUCAUUAGCACUAACCAAAAAGAACUCUUGAUCGCAGUUGGGUCAAAUCGAGGAAGAAGUGGAAUGAUAUGGAUAUUAAUCUCAUUAGUUACAGUUAAAUGUUAAGAGUUUCAAAUGCUUGACAUGUGAAACGAACAAGCUUGUUAACUCAUAGUGGAAUAGCGUGUUUUUUUUGGUCCUUUGGUUCAUCAGCUCUGAGUUUUCAAUCCAUGACCUUGCUUAAGACUUUCUUUAGUGUAUGUACCAGGUAAGCUAAGUUACGCCUAUUGGUUAAUGGUUAGGAUCAAAGACAAUUACUACCUCCAGAGUGACUUCAAUAUUCUUUCCUUGUAGAAGCAGUCAAAUAUCUUGGUGAAAGUUAGCUGGAUAGACUAUCCAGCUAAUUGGAUACGAGGUGUUGGGAUUUUCUUUAACCUUAGCAGGUAGACUAGACUUUUGAAAAAAGGUUGGGGAACAUGACUUAACACACAAAAUCAAUAUUACCGACUAGCCAAUCAGAUCAUCACAUAUUAAUUAAUGUUGUUAAAGGUUUAUUAGGUAAGUCAAUUGCGUUAGAUCUUUUAGGCCCUCUUCCCUUAAGCUCAUAAUUGAACAUUUAGUUGAAAUUUGAUAAUAGGAGCUUUGCGGACAGGACUUUUCCAUUCGUAUACAAUAGUGUCUCCAAUAGUUAUGCUGGAGCUAUUUAGCAAGUAAAAAAUAGCGUGUCAAACAUCAAAAUAAGAAAUCUAUAUAUAUAAGAAAUUUCAAACCACCGACAGUUGCUGCUUUACAUGCUAGAACAUAGAUAUAUAUGCUCAUCAAUUACAAUGGACAAGCAAAGAACAAUAAGAAAGAAGAUAAGCAUUCCUUGCUUGUAGUAACUGGUGUAUGAGACAUACGAGAUGUGAUAAUAACUUGAAGCAGCGCUUAUUUAAGCUACUAAGACAUCCAAAUUAAUUUAAAUCAGUUGUUUGGAUGGAUAGGAGAUGGGGGCUUGUGGGGUGGCUCAUAUUGUGGUUUAGGUGGUUCAAUUUGAGGAGUUGGGAGGAGGAAAUCUUUUGUUCGGAGGCUUGUAAUAUUCUGCAUUUUCUACUGGAGGAUGUCCUGGAUAGUGGCCAUAAGGUGGCACUGGCUUGUGGAUAGGGGGAGGUAUAGUUGGUGGCUUGUGUUCAGGGAAUGGCUUCUCUACCUUAGGUGGCUUGUAAACUGGUGGUUUCUCUACCUUAGGGUGCUUGUAAACUGGUGGUUUCUCUACCUUAGGGGGCUUGUAAACAGGUGGUUUCUCUACCUUAGGGUGUACUUGAAAACUGGUGGUUUCUCUACCUUAGGGUGCUUGUAAACUGGUGGGUAAGGUAUUGGAGGCUUGUAUACUGGUGGUGUGAAGGUGGAAGGGCUGUAACCAGAUUCGUCUGGCUUAGAACGUUCAUAUUUGGCAGAAAGAGAGGGAGUGGCUAAAACAGCUACUCCAAGGAGGAGUAUUAAAAAGAAAGUGUGCAUCCUUAGGCUUUUGAUGGUGCUGCUGCAUGAUAAAAGAAGAACGAGGACCCGUUUAUAGUGGUUUGAAGACUUUGCCAGAGGGUACAUAUGUCAUUCUUUUGUUCAUUCUAUUUGUCACUUUGCAAAAAAGUCAAACUAAGUUUCUAAUUUUUAGUUGAGGCUUAAAUGUGAUUGUUACAUUUGGGUCCUAUUGAGUGAGCAAAAUUGGAAAAUUGGGCAAAGGCUCUGUACUCUUGUGGAGGAAACGUUUAGAAGAUCUUACUGUUGUUGAUCUUUCGCUUUCUUUGCAAUUAAGCUAAGAUGUUACACAGUUUUAGGAUGAAGCUGGUUUAGAUAAUUACUUGCAUUAACUGCAACUGCUUUAGAUUUAUUUAUAGAAAUAGUAGCAGAUUACAUUACAUAUGAACAGUCUUUAAUCCUGUUUUCCCCGCAAUGACACCCUAAUCUUUUUUUCUCUUUUGACAUUGGUCAUGACUAUUACAUUUUUAAACUUCUUCAUUUAUUUUAUGCAUUGUAGCAUAGAAGACUGAAAGUUGUUGAUGGAAUUGGGGAAGGUUCAGGACUUAACCGCUUGUGUUGCCAGGACUUAAGCCGGGCUCGUCAGUGGUAUAGUAAGAUCAUCAAAAUCUUCUCCUUUUUCGAAAAAAAAAAAAAGUGUGAACACACAACUUCUUUGUUCUGUGUUUAUUUUCUCAGCCAAUCUUAUUAUCCCAUAUUGAUUCAGGAUUAAGGUCUUAAGUCAACAUGUAAAACUUGAGCGAUUUCUCCUCCCCUUGAGCUACCUUAUGGAGAGUAAGUUAAGCUUGGUUAACAUGUUAUCAGAGACUACCGAAAAAGCCCAGUGCCAUUGUAGUUGCAUGCGAAUGCUUACUAAUAGUACCUAGUUUUAAAGCCAAUUUCAACGAUAGUGUUUAUGGUUUUACAUGCUCUAUGCUCUCGCUAAUCGAUGUCAUAUAGGCAUAUUUGUUCACAGUUAACGAAUCACUUCACUUUUACAUCCUUUGUAUAAUACAUAACUAAUCUUAUAAUAGUUGAACAAUCUUUGAAUAAUGCAUGUCCGAUAGAAUUUUGACCAACCAACCGAAGCAGAAUAUGUAAAUGACUAUAUAUAUAUAUAUAUAUAUAUAUAUAUAUAUAUGCACUGACUACUGUGCUUUACGUAAGGAUAAAUAAAAAGACAUGCCCAUCGGCUAUUAUUGACGUGCAAUAGUGCAAUUAUAGUAUGAGUUAAAUAGAGAAAAGGCAGAAUGACUGCAUAUAAGCUCUUAUUUCUAGUUUCUGAUAGUCUCUCUAUAUCAGCACUAACUCAUCAGUAGGCACGAAUCGGUGGAGGUGCCUUGUAGUGUGGACUAGGUGGCUUCUUAUGUGGCAUCGGAGAAGGCGUUAUCUUCCUUGGUGGCUUGUGAGGGCCUUCACCACCUUCCAUUGGAGGGUGUGCUGAAAAUUGACCAUGAGGUGGUAAUGGCUCAUGUUCUGGCGGCAAAAAUCCUGGUUUGGGAGGUAGAGUUGGUGGCUUGUGUUCUGGGAAUCCCUUGGAUACUUUGGGAGGUUCAGCUGGGGUUAAUGGCUUCUGUUUUCCUGGUUCAUGAACUGGCAUUGGUGGCUUGGGCUCAGGGAUUGGCUUCUCCAGCUUAGGAGGAGGUUUAUGAACUGGCAUUGGUGGCUUGUGCUCAGGGGCAGGCUUGGGGCUAAAAGCAGGUGGAAAGUGCUCAAAGUGAGAUGGCUUGUGGUGAUCGGCCAAGGAAGGAGUGGCCAGAGCCACCACACCAAUUAGCAACACUAGCAGGUAUGUGUUAGACAUUUUGAUGCUUUGAUGGUUUAAAAGUAGAAGAAUCAAUGCCCUUUUAUAAUGGUUUGGCACCUACAUUGGCAAAAGGUGUCCCAAAAUUAUUCGUUUUGCUUCAUACACAGUCUGCGAAAUGUCAAAAUAAAACUCCGCUGAUUUUUGGGUUAGGAGGCUCCACUGAGACUAUGCCAGUUGAAAAACUGGAAAAAUUAGGCAAGUUGAUGAUUCCAAAAUAGAGAGAAGGAUUGAGAAGCAAGGUUCUUUUUUCCUCCAUGAUUUCGCAAAUGUCAACUUUCACAACGAAUAUAUUUGAAAAAAUGCAUUCCUAAGUGCAUAAAUUGAAGAAAUUUAUCUUCAGUUUGUUUUUUAAUUUCGAAAAAAAUUGAUUAAAAGAUUGGCCCUUUACGCGUUUUCUUAAUUGGCGGCUGAUAGGUGUGCGGAAACAUAUGAAACUACUACCAUUAACGGUAUAAACUGAAAUUUUUGAAGGGUAAGUUUUCCCUUCUUCCUCUUUUUCUUCUUUCUUUGUUUGUAUCCACUGACCUAAGAGACAAAUGUAGAAUUAUUAUUUAUUUAUUUAUUUAUGUUCAUUAACCAUCCAUUUUUUGCCAUCUAAACUGUUUUCUAAAUUAUUCUAUAAUAAUCCCUCUUUUUUUCCUUUUGAUUUUUUCCCAAAUUAUUUACACAUUAAUUUCAAUUUAAUUAAAUUAUUACUUGCCAUUUAUUAUGAUAUGUUAAAACUUGUAUUAUUUUCAGUUAUUAUAAUCAUUUUUUUUAACUUGUAACUCUUUCGUAAUCAUUUAUUAACUAUAUUUGAAUUGACACUGGUAUUUUAAUUUUAAGAAAAUAUUCAAUUAAUUUAAUUAAUUUUUCUAAACAUAUAAUAAUAAAUUGUUAAUUAUUACUAAUCUUAUUUUAUUAUGUUGGUUUUAAGAUAAAAACCGCAGUGCAAGCAUGGUGGCCAUUUAGGUGUUGAUGGAUUGGUGGGCAUGGUGGCUCUGUUGUGGUGUAUGGCUCGCCUGGUGGUUGUCUUGGCUCAUAUCUAGGAGGCGCUACGAGCUUGCCUCCAGGUGGAAGUGCAAUCUCGUUCUCAAGAGGCAGUGUGGGCUCACCUCUAAGGGAAGGUGACGGCUCAUUUUCAAGAGGCAAUGUGGAGUACCUAGGGUUGUUUAAAUAGUUGCUACGGCUUGAAAUUGAACCGAACCAGGAGAAAAUCAAAUAAAUCUUAGAUUUUAAAAUGAAAAUUGAAUCAAACAGAGAAGCGUAUACAAAUGGAAUCAAAUCGAUUUGGUUCAAUCAUUUUUCAGUUAUUUUUUAUUGUUUUAGACUAGAUUGUUUUCUGUGUUCCAUAAAAACCGAACUGAACCAAACUGGUUGGCUUCAAAUAUUGCGCCAAGUUUUUGACAUGAUUUUGAAGUUGCAUUUGUUGUUAACUUCAACAAUGUUGGAGCCAUUUGGUUGCAAUUUGCAAAUAUAGCGUUAUUUUAAAAUUUAUGAUUUUGAAGUCCCUUUCCUCUUAGCAGAUUUCUACCUUUUCAUUUUAUUUUUAAAUUUAUGAGUGAUGUUAUUAUUUAUGUUCUUAAUACUAGGUUUCUACUAAGUCUGAAUUAUUGCAAUGGAGUUAUUUAUUCAUUUAUUUGUUUCUGCUUGACUACUUUUAUUUCUGUAACCAUAUUAGCUGAAAAAUUAUGAAAGAUAGAUAAAUAAUAAAACAUGCAAAGCAACCCUAGCAUGUGGUUUAUUGGUACUUAGAUUUUCAGUACACCAGCAAACCUAGCAUGUCGUUUAUUACUUACACUUAUUUCUAUAUAAUAUGAUAGGCCAGCUUUGGAUAUUUGACGGUAUUAGCUGCUGCUUCUGUCCAUAUAAGAUGAAACCUACAAAGUUAUUGGAGGGUCCCCUUUAGGUGGCGGGUGAGCCUGACCUUGAUGAGAUGGUGGUGGACAUGGCUUUUGGCCUUUUGGAGGUGAAACAGGCUCUCCUUUUGAAGGUGGUGGAUUGGGUUUAGGCUGUGAAGGCUGUUCACCUCUGGGUGGUGGACACGGCUUGCCUUUAGAUGGUGGUGGACGCUCACCCUUUUGAGGUGGCUCAGAUUUAGGAGGUUGUGAUGGUGGCGGACGCUGCUGGCCUUUAGAUGGCGGUGGACCCUCUCCCUUUUGGGGUGGCUGUGAUGGUGGAGGACACGGCUUGCCUGUAGAUGGCGGUGGACGCUGGCCUUUUUGGGGUGGCUGUGAUGGUGGCGAAGGCUGCUGGCCUUUAGAUGGCGGUGGACGUUCACCCUUUUGGGGUGGCUGUGAGGGUGAAGGACACGGCUUGCCUGUAGAUGGCGGUGGAUGCUCACCCUUUUGGGGUGGCUGCGAUGGUGGAUGACACGGCUUGCCUUUAGACGGCCGUGGACGCUCACCCUUUUGGGGUGGCUGCGAUGGUGGAGGACACGGCUUGCCUUUAGACGGCGGUGGACGCUCACCUUUUUGGGGUGGUUCAGAUUUAGGAGGCUGUGGUGUUUGCUGCUUACAGCCGGCACAUUGAUGAUGAUCGUUAUUAUUUUCAUCCAUUGAACUUAGGUUUUUGGGUUGAUCAUGGGAGAGGGAUGGGAUGACAAAAACCGUCAAAGCAAUGAAGAAGUAAAGCAGCAGCUUCAUGUAUGGAGUAGACAUUUUUGCACUACAAUGGGUUGCAGAAGGUGUGAUAUAUGUUGGCAAUUUAUAGCUGUUGAAGGUUGUGUGAAAUUGUAAUAUGCUUCAACUCAUAUUUGUUUGAUUCAAGCAAUGUUAAGGUCAUUUGGUUUGUUCAUUCAUAUACGUGUAACCUUUCUUCAGCCAAAUGGCAAUGCAAAUCUAUGUGCAUGCUUUUCUUUCUCUCCUCUCUUGUCCUAAAUGAAGAAUUUACCAUUUUAAGGAGUAUUUUAGUGCUUUCAUUGUAAACUUUUUUUCCUCUUUACUCAUUUUUUUCUGCAUAUAAAUACUUUCCUUUGCUGCAAUUAGCUCAAACGAAAGGCAAAAAAAUAUACAGGAAAUAUACUUUUUUAUUUAAUAUUAUUCAGUUCAAGCAACAUAUUCAGCUAAGCAAAAGCAGCACAAACAACACAAUCCACAAAUUUUAUUUAAGUGGUGGCAUUAUAUACUCUAAGCCCUUAUUUUCACACACGUACCAUGAGACUAUAAUCUUCAUGAUAAGAUAUAAAUACAGGGACCGACAUGAUUAUUUGUUAUCAAUACAUAAAUGGUGGAGCAGAGAUAGGUGUUGGAUAGCUUCGACAUGCAAUUAACACUUUCUAUCCCUCGGAAACUUUACAACACCAGAACAUGGCUGUUUCUGCAACGGAAAUAAUAACUGGUUACCAAAAGAUAACGUUUUUCUUCCAGAAUUAGAGGGAGGCCUUCCACGCGGUGGCCUUCUUGGUGGAAUUCUUGGUGGCCUUCUUGGUGGUAAGAGUUGAGCAUCAAGCGAAGGGGUUAAAGAAAGAAUCAAAGCUCCAACGAGGAACAAUACUAGCAAGUGCUUGAGACUGAGACUCAUUUUUUGAGCUAUUAAUUAGUGAUCUGCAGAAACUUGAGAACUGGAGUGGCCAUUUAUGGUGGAUUGCAGGACUAAUUCGUCAAACCACGGGCCUUUGGAUAGUUGACAUCUGUGUUCAUUAGUCUAAUCACUUUUUGAAACGAUGUAGAAAGCCUGAAAGUUAAUUAGCCACUCCUCCCGAGGGAAAACAAGUGGCCAUUAGGCGAGUACAGCUUAAUCAG
Molecule: long non-coding RNA, 18250 nt
Filed under: Jatropha curcas
Lineage: Eukaryota; Viridiplantae; Streptophyta; Magnoliopsida; Malpighiales; Euphorbiaceae
Description: long non-coding RNA (JCUR_LNC001010)
Source: RNAcentral